RNAcentral lists this ribosomal RNA (427 nucleotides) under uncultured bacterium. RNAcentral describes it as "partial 16S ribosomal RNA". It matches the Rfam family "Bacterial small subunit ribosomal RNA", at positions 354 to 796 of the family's 1533-position model. The record is from RNAcentral.
GUGGGGAAUAUUGGGCAAUGGGGGCAACCCUGACCCAGCGACGCCGCGUGAGGGAAGAAGGCCUUCGGGUUGUAAACCUCUUUUGUAUGGGAAGAAGGACGUGACGGUACCGUACGAAUAAGUCCCGGCUAACUACGUGCCAGCAGCCGCGGUAAUACGUAGGGGACGAGCGUUGUCCGGAAUUACUGGGCGUAAAGGGCGCGCAGGCUGUGCUGCAAGUCAGCUGUGAAAUGUCUGGGCUUAACCCGGGCAUGCGGUUGAGACUGCAGUGCUGGAGUGCUGUAGAGGCAAGUGGAAUUCCCAGUGUAGCGGUGAAAUGCGUAGAUAUUGGGAAGAACACCGGUGGCGAAGGCGACUUGCUGGGCAGCAACUGACGCUGAGGCGCGAAAGCCAGGGGAGCAAACGGGAUUAGAAACCCCUGUAGUCC